RNAcentral lists this non-coding RNA (56 nucleotides) under unclassified sequences. RNAcentral's name for it is "sul1 RNA". It matches the Rfam family "sul1 RNA". The record is from Rfam by way of RNAcentral.
CAAGGACCCGGUGAGAUUCCGGGUGGCUAUCCCGGCCGCCAAUCCGCCGGGGAAAC